CAAUGCGAAAGCCUUCCUGUUUAAGAAAAGUGUCUUAUACAACCCCUUGAAAGCUCGCAUUGCUGCAACCAUCUUAUCCAUGUUCCCAAAAUAAGUAGCCAUGUAAGAAUCACUGUUAAUAGACACAUAAUAAUCAAGUGCAGCUUUUGUAUUCCCAUGCAUGGUUGUGAAGUCCUCCCCACUAAGAAGACUACUGUUAAUAGACACAUAAUAAUCCAGUGCAGCUUUUGUAUUCCCAUGCAUGGUUGUGAAGUCCUCCCCACUAAGAAGACUAGAUUUAGUAACAACAUUGGUGUACAUCGAUGUCAGUCCCUCAAGUUC
This 321-nucleotide long non-coding RNA is filed under the name Nicotiana benthamiana. RNAcentral's name for it is "long non-coding RNA (NBEN_LNC007016)". Lineage: Eukaryota; Viridiplantae; Streptophyta; Magnoliopsida; Solanales; Solanaceae. The record is from RNAcentral.